UACGUAGGGCGCAAGCGUUAUCCGGAAUUAUUGGGCGUAAAGCGUCCGCAGGUGGACAUACAAGUCUGCUGUCAAAGUGCAGAGCUUAACUCUGUAAAGGCGGUGGAAACUGUAGGUCUUGAGUAUGGUAGGGGUAGAGGGAAUUCCCGGUGUAGCGGUGAAAUGCGUAGAUAUCGGGAAGAACACCAGUGGCGAAAGCGCUCUACUGGGCCAUAACUGACACUGAGGGACGAAAGCUAGGGGAGCGAAAGGG
This 253-nucleotide ribosomal RNA is filed under the name uncultured bacterium. RNAcentral's name for it is "partial 16S ribosomal RNA". It matches the Rfam family "Bacterial small subunit ribosomal RNA", at positions 524 to 776 of the family's 1533-position model. The record is from RNAcentral.